UACGAAGGGGGCUAGCGUUGUUCGGAAUCACUGGGCGUAAAGCGCACGUAGGCGGAUCUUUAAGUCAGGGGUGAAAUCCCGAGGCUCAACCUCGGAACUGCCUUUGAUACUGGGGAUCUCGAGUCCGGGAGAGGUGAGUGGAACUGCGAGUGUAGAGGUGAAAUUCGUAGAUAUUCGCAAGAACACCAGUGGCGAAGGCGGCUCACUGGCCCGGUACUGACGCUGAGGUGCGAAAGCGUGGGAGCAAACAGG
Molecule: ribosomal RNA, 252 nt
Filed under: uncultured bacterium
Lineage: Bacteria
Description: partial 16S ribosomal RNA
Rfam family: Bacterial small subunit ribosomal RNA
Source: RNAcentral